UACAGAGGUCUCAAGCGUUGUUCGGAUUCAUUGGGCGUAAAGGGUGCGUAGGCGGCGGUGCAAGUCCGAUGUGAAAUACCGGGGCUCAACCCCGGAACUGCAUUGGAUACUGCAUUGCUAGAGUACUGGAGAGGGAACUGGAAUUUACGGUGUAGCAGUGAAAUGCGUAGAGAUCGUAAGGAAGACCAGUGGCGAAGGCGAGUUCCUGGACAGUUACUGACGCUGAGGCGCGAAAGCGUGGGGAGCAAACAGG
RNAcentral lists this ribosomal RNA (253 nucleotides) under uncultured bacterium. RNAcentral's name for it is "partial 16S ribosomal RNA". It matches the Rfam family "Bacterial small subunit ribosomal RNA", at positions 524 to 776 of the family's 1533-position model. The record is from RNAcentral.